CAGCCGCCGCGGGAAUACGAAGGGUGCAAGCGUUAAUCGGAAUUACUGGGCGUAAAGCGCGCGUAGGUGGUUCAUUAAGUUGGAUGUGAAAGCCCUGGGCUCAACCUGGGAACUGCAUCCAAAACUGGUGAGCUAGAGUACGGUAGAGGGUAGUGGAAUUUCCUGUGUAGCGGUGAAAUGCGUAGAUAUAGGAAGGAACACCAGUGGCGAAGGCGACUACCUGGACUGAUACUGACACUGAGGUGCGAAAGCGUGGGGAGCAAACAGGAUUAGAUACCCGGGUAGUCCCUGUCUCUUUACC
This 301-nucleotide ribosomal RNA is filed under the name uncultured bacterium. RNAcentral's name for it is "partial 16S ribosomal RNA". It matches the Rfam family "Bacterial small subunit ribosomal RNA", at positions 509 to 808 of the family's 1533-position model. The record is from RNAcentral.